RNAcentral lists this unclassified non-coding RNA (205 nucleotides) under Lepista densifolia. RNAcentral's name for it is "partial internal transcribed spacer 2". The record is from RNAcentral. Lineage: Eukaryota; Fungi; Basidiomycota; Agaricomycetes; Agaricales; Clitocybaceae.
AAUUCUCAACCUUUUCAGCUUUUGCAAGUUGAAUUUGGCUUGGAUGUGGAGGUUGCGGGCUUCUCAGAAGUCGGCUCUUCUUAAAUGCAUUAGCGGAACCUUUGUGGACCAGCUUUGGUGUGAUAAUUAUCUACGCCACUGUUGUGAAACAGCUUUACAUGGGGUUCAGCUUCUAACUGUCCAUUGACUUGGACAAUUUUUGACA